RNAcentral lists this long non-coding RNA (705 nucleotides) under Macaca nemestrina (pig-tailed macaque). RNAcentral's name for it is "lncRNA (ENSMNEG00000045746.1)". The record is from RNAcentral. Lineage: Eukaryota; Metazoa; Chordata; Mammalia; Primates; Cercopithecidae.
GUCUCAAUAUUGAAAUCAUCAAUAUCUGUUUGAAGUUUAAUUUUAAGAAACUAUUUCCUGCCUCCACAGACCUACAUAUUGAUGUUACUGCAUUGUUCUUCCCUCUUUUCCUACAAAAUUCUCGGAAACAUGUUUUUCUUCAGGCAAGGGAGUAGAUGAAAACACCAAAUAGAUUAUUUCAGACGUACUUUCUCUCCCCUUCCCUAUGACCAGGAAAAGACAAAACGCUGCCUCUUCUUUCAUUUUUCUUCUUGGUAUAUUGAUGGAGCUGUCAUUAUGCCCUCAACACCUCAUCUGAAGUAAUAUGGGACAAUAAGAGGGGCAGCCGCUUCCCAAGACUUCACAGUCAUCAUGUAGUUCAUCCAAGAGCUCCAGCCACACCAAUCUGACCCUGCUAUGGCUAAGGACAAGGCUGCCUUCCGGCAACCCCGAGAACAGAGUUGGACAGUCCAUCCCUGGGAGACCCUGUCCCAGAACAUCUAGACUCCCAGGUUGGUCCUCUUUGGAACAUGAGAGGAUGUGGUUACAUUUGCAAUUGAAAGACAUCAUCUAGGGGGUAAAUGUGAAAGGAAAGGUCCAGGAAGGACCAGGGCAGAGGGCUCCCCUAUAAUUCUCUGAUGUUCAUUCCUUUGAACACCCUUAGCCAUGUAGACACAUUUGCAAGGAGAGAGUUUGCAAAGCCAUUAAUAGAAACAAAAGUAGUAA